This 489-nucleotide ribosomal RNA is filed under the name Anaplasma phagocytophilum. RNAcentral's name for it is "bacterial SSU rRNA". It matches the Rfam family "Bacterial small subunit ribosomal RNA", at positions 105 to 631 of the family's 1533-position model. Lineage: Bacteria; Pseudomonadati; Pseudomonadota; Alphaproteobacteria; Rickettsiales; Anaplasmataceae. The record is from RNAcentral.
GGUAGUAAUGCAUAGGAAUCUACCUAGUAGUAUGGGAUAGCCCUAGAAAUGGUGGGUAAUACUGUAUAAUCCCUGCGGGGGAAAGAUUUAUCGCUAUUAGAUGAGCCUAUGUUAGAUUAGCUAGUUGGUAGGGUAAAGGCCUACCAAGGCGAUGAUCUAUAGCUGGUCUGAGAGGAUGAUCAGCCACACUGGAACUGAGAUACGGUCCAGACUCCUACGGGAGGCAGCAGUGGGGAAUAUUGGACAAUGGGCGCAAGCCUGAUCCAGCUAUGCCGCGUGAGUGAGGAAGGCCUUAGGGUUGUAAAACUCUUUCAGUAGGGAAGAUAAUGACGGUACCUACAGAAGAAGUCCCGGCAAACUCCGUGCCAGCAGCCGCGGUAAUACGGAGGGGGCAAGCGUUGUUCGGAAUUAUUGGGCGUAAAGGGCAUGUAGGCGGUUCGGUAAGUUAAAGGUGAAAUGCCAGGGCUUAACCCUGGAGCUGCUUUUAAA